RNAcentral lists this ribosomal RNA (253 nucleotides) under uncultured bacterium. RNAcentral's name for it is "partial 16S ribosomal RNA". It matches the Rfam family "Bacterial small subunit ribosomal RNA", at positions 524 to 776 of the family's 1533-position model. The record is from RNAcentral.
UACGGAGGGUGCGAGCGUUAAUCGGAAUUACUGGGCGUAAAGCGCGCGUAGGCGGUUUGAUAAGUCUGAUGUGAAAGCCCUGGGCUUAACCUGGGAACCGCAUUGGAUACUGUCAGACUCGAGUGUGGUAGAGGGUAGUGGAAUUUCCGGUGUAGCAGUGAAAUGCGUAGAGAUCGGAAGGAACACCAGUGGCGAAGGCGGCUACCUGGACCAACACUGACGCUGAGGUGCGAAAGCGUGGGGAGCAAACAGG